Molecule: non-coding RNA, 81 nt
Organism: Caenorhabditis elegans
Lineage: Eukaryota; Metazoa; Nematoda; Chromadorea; Rhabditida; Rhabditidae
Source: Ensembl
AAAUUUUAUAGAAUUUUCUCAGAAAGUUUUGGAAUUUUUUGAAUUAUUUAUUCUAAAAAAUAUUUUGGAUUUUUUCAGAAU